This 261-nucleotide long non-coding RNA is filed under the name Prunus dulcis (almond). Its description in RNAcentral is "sRNA ncRNA". The record is from RNAcentral. Lineage: Eukaryota; Viridiplantae; Streptophyta; Magnoliopsida; Rosales; Rosaceae.
AUGAUGUGGGAGUUGAUGAGAGGUAACAUUUUUAAUGUUACCACAAGGGUUUCUCAUGGAAGUAUUCUUUGGCUUUGGUUGUUGCAGAAACAGUUGUAUGAUAUUAACAAUGUGUGUGAAAAACUGAUGGUGAAUGGGUUCUGGGGACUCUGUGUUAUGACACUUUCGAGGUCACACUUCACGAAUGGUAACGAAGAGUUGAUACGGAUUAAAUUAUUGAUCUUGUCAAUCGCAUUGAGUUGAUCAGGAUCAAUAAUUUGA